CUUCUUUUUUAAUGUAGAUUCACCGUCCGCGUCUGGACCGAGGUGGUCAACUGACUUGGCAUUCAAGACCACUCACCGCUGACUUGGCGCCACGAAGACACGGUUCAAGAUUGGUGGCUGAAGACGAUCAACACGGGAGGGCAUAUCAAGAAAGCGGUUGGCUCUGCUCUGAUGCUUGUCAUGUGAGAAAUUUGGAAGGAGCGAAACGCGAGAGUUUUUCGCAACACGGCUUCACCGACCACUGUUAUCACUGCCCAGAUCAAAGAGGAGGCCUGUCUUUGGGCGUUGGUGGGAGCCAAACACAUGAGUGCAAUUAUGUCGCGAGAGUAG
RNAcentral lists this ribosomal RNA (330 nucleotides) under Triticum aestivum (bread wheat). RNAcentral's name for it is "partial small subunit ribosomal RNA". Lineage: Eukaryota; Viridiplantae; Streptophyta; Magnoliopsida; Poales; Poaceae. The record is from RNAcentral.